Non-coding RNA from Oryza glaberrima (African rice), 68 nucleotides. Lineage: Eukaryota; Viridiplantae; Streptophyta; Magnoliopsida; Poales; Poaceae. The record is from Rfam.
AGGAGCCGUAUGAGGUGAAAAUCUCAUGUGCGGUUCUGUAGAGGGGCAGGAAUAGUGACUUAUCUAUC